RNAcentral lists this ribosomal RNA (500 nucleotides) under Agromyces iriomotensis. Its description in RNAcentral is "bacterial SSU rRNA". It matches the Rfam family "Bacterial small subunit ribosomal RNA", at positions 374 to 876 of the family's 1533-position model. Lineage: Bacteria; Bacillati; Actinomycetota; Actinomycetes; Micrococcales; Microbacteriaceae. The record is from RNAcentral.
GGCGCAAGCCUGAUGCAGCAACGCCGCGUGCGGGAUGACGGCCUUCGGGUUGUAAACCGCUUUUAGUAAGGAAGAAGGGGAGCUUGCUCCUUGACGGUACUUGCAGAAAAAGGACCGGCUAACUACGUGCCAGCAGCCGCGGUAAUACGUAGGGUCCGAGCGUUGUCCGGAAUUAUUGGGCGUAAAGAGCUCGUAGGCGGUUUGUCGCGUCUGCUGUGAAAUCCCGAGGCUCAACCUCGGGCCUGCAGUGGGUACGGGCAGACUGGAGUGCGGUAGGGGAGAAUGGAAUUCCUGGUGUAGCGGUGGAAUGCGCAGAUAUCAGGAGGAACACCGAUGGCGAAGGCAGUUCUCUGGGCCGUAACUGACGCUGAGGAGCGAAAGCGUGGGGAGUGAACAGGAUUAGAUACCCUGGUAGUCCACGCCGUAAACGUUGGGCGCUAGAUGUGGGGACCUUUCCACGGUUUCCGUGUCGUAGCUAACGCAUUAAGCGCCCCGCCUGG